This 1128-nucleotide ribosomal RNA is filed under the name Triticum aestivum (bread wheat). RNAcentral's name for it is "partial small subunit ribosomal RNA". The record is from RNAcentral. Lineage: Eukaryota; Viridiplantae; Streptophyta; Magnoliopsida; Poales; Poaceae.
AUGGCCGAAUGCUUCAAUAAGGUGCUCAAAGGUGCACGUGGAUUACCCGUGACGACAAUAGUUCAAUACACAUUUGCCAAGAUGAAUGCGUACUUUCUAUCGAUGGAAACGGAUGCACAUAUAGCGGGUGAGAACAAGCGCAAGUACAAGUACAAGUUUCCACCCAAGGUUGAUGAAUGGUUGGAAUUUCAAUCGCGGAAGGCGGACUCAGAAAAAGCUAUACUAUAUGGCAACGAAGAGUGGAAGUAUGAAGUGAAAGAGCCAGGAGGAACCACAAAUGAUGGCCGCCAACAUGGAGGUCGGGCUUUCAAGGUCUCCUUAACACGGUGUGAUUGCUCUUGCGGGAGGCCGUCGUUGCUUCAUCUCCCAUGCUCACACUUGUAUACCGCCGGUCGUGUUAGGAAUGUGGAUGUCAAACACCCCCUCACCGUGAGGGAGUCGGAGUUCUCAAUCCAAACGGCUAAGAAAACAUGGGCUCCCCGCUUUCACCCAUACUUUGACCAAUCACAAUGGCCAGAGUACCAUGGAGUUCAACUAUGGCCGGAUCUGGAGUUGAAGGUUGUGAAACGGGGUAGACGUAAGAUAAAGCGUCUCCAAGGCGACAUGGACGAAUGGGGUCAUGGUGGCCGCCACGAAGCGGGCAACGACCAAUUCCAAGAGCCUCGUGAGAGCUCCUGUUGUGGGGAAUGCAAAGGUCAUGACCACAACAAAAGAAAAUGUACAAAACCACGAAAAAGGUCCAAGAAAAAUGAUGCAAGCACAAGCCAACAAGGAGGUACACAAGGUAGCCAACCAAGUGGUAGCCAACAAGUGCCAAGGCAACCAAGUGGUAGCCAACAAGUGCCAAGGCAACCAAGUGGUAGCCAACAAGGAUCUAGGCAACAAAGAGGGAGGCAACUAGGACUUACAAGAGGCUGUGGUGGUGGUAGAGCUCGUGGCGGUGGUCUAGGCCGUGGUGGUGGUAGAGCUCGGGGUGGUGGACUUGGUCGUGGUGAUGGUCUUGACCUUGGUGGUGGACUUGGCCGUGGCGAUGGUUUUGGUCGUGGUGAUGGCACUACUAGAAAAAUGGCUAUAGCUAAUAUGAACAUUAAUGGCGCACUAUACAUGUGGCGCGCCACUGCGAUAUAA